Molecule: long non-coding RNA, 472 nt
Organism: Pseudophryne corroboree (corroboree frog)
Lineage: Eukaryota; Metazoa; Chordata; Amphibia; Anura; Myobatrachidae
Exons: 2
Source: RefSeq, a predicted model, not a curated record
CAAGUGCUCCUGUGCUUUUCUGUAUUUAUUUCCAGAAUUUAUCUUCUAUAAUUUAAUAAUAAUAAUAAUAAUAAUAAUAGAGGUAGAUUACAAUGACUGCCUCAUCAUCUUCUUUCUUUGAAAGCCUUGAACAUUACACUAAGGGGGGUAAUUAAAUUCUGGCCUAAGGGAGGUAAAAUCUCACCGUGUGUAUGCACCUUUAAAGUGCAAUACCACACUAAUAACAAAAUAAAGAUUUAAAAGACGUUGCAACAAGUAUAUAUACAUUGGUCGGCUUAAACAUUUCACCCUGCAGAACAUUGACGCAAUUCUUAUGACAUAUGCAUUAUAAAGAAGAGGGGCACAAUGAACCAGAAGCUAGGACACAGAACAACUUACCAGAUCAUGAUUUACUCCCAUGUGAGAGGAAGAAGAAAAUAAGAUUUAAGCUUGGGAGGGAGAUGGUCAAAUAAAGAUAAAUUAAAGAUUCCUA